Syngnathus typhle (broad-nosed pipefish) is the source of this 2204-nucleotide RNA transcript. It is a transcript of the gene named interleukin 13 receptor, alpha 1, with no coding region annotated. NCBI's taxonomy places the organism in Eukaryota, Metazoa, Chordata, Actinopteri, Syngnathiformes, Syngnathidae. The transcript has 11 exons. The record is from RefSeq and is a predicted model, not a curated record.
CGCCAAAUGAUUGUGCCUUUCCUUGGAAGCCUGAAUGGGUCCAUUGACCGACUUCGACAACUCGUCGAAAAAUGUUUCAAUGAAGACGCGAGUGAAUUUGUUCAUCUCAUUGUUGUGAUUUUUAUUUUUUUUUCCCAGCUGAGGAUGUUUGUGAAACGUUUACUCUUAUCCGUGGCAGUUUACUUUUUGGUUGAAGUUGAGUCACGAACACAAACCGGUCAGCUCCUGCCACCGCGCAAUCUCACCCUUCGUUGGCUGAGCGACUUUGAACUACAACUGUGGUGGGGACACGAGGGUUUGCCACCAAACUGUGAAUACAAUGUGUUAAAAAGAACGGCCGAUCACAACAGUGAGGAACAGAGUACUCACCAAUCACCUCCUUCAGUCUACAACCUGGCAAUGGAGGGGGGUUCCCUGUUUUUCUCUGUUCAGACCACCUGCAACCACACAAAUAGCGAGCCUUCUUUCCUCAAUGUUACAUAUCCAGAGUUGGUGAGUAACGUGCGGUGCAGCAUCAUCUCGUCGGCGCUGACUCGGUGCUCCUGGGUGCCUCUCGGCUCUCCUCGGGAUCUCGCUUUCUAUUAUCAGUUAGCGAACGAGGUGGAGGACGUGGCCUCCGCCGUCAUGUCCUUGUCAGAGUGUCCGCACUACACGCUCACCAAUGGCAUGAGGACGGGCUGCUGUCUGAAGUCCAAAGCCCAGGAGUCCAUCCUGAUGUUGUUUAACGCUACCCUGAACGGGGGUCUCGUCAAGAACACCUUUCAGGAGAAGCCUGUGCUAGUGACACCGCAUCCCCUAAAUUGGAGCGUUAGCAAAGUCCCAGGUUAUUUCAACGUGAGCUGGACUCCUCCGGAUGUUUUCGGACUACCGCAGUGGAAGUUUGUGAUCAAUUACACUGAGUGUGAUAAGGAAAAGACUCAAAUGGUCCAGGAAGUGACAUGGCUACUAUUGGGCCGAGUUUCUCACUGUCAGUACCGUAUGACCCUGAGAGCGUGCAGCCCUCGCGGAGACUCUGAAUGGAGUGAAAUCAAGUAUUUCGAGGCGGACCAUGAUGCCGACGCCGUCUUGUACGCCGCCAUCGUCAUCAUCCCGCUGCUGUGUGCCGGCCUUGCAUCGCUGGCGUGCGUGUGCUUCAGAAGGAAUCGGGAAGUCAUGUUCAGCAACGUGCCCCAACCUCGGGAUUUCCUCAGUGAUAUUCACAACAACAAGAGUGACAGACUUUUCAGCUUUAAUUUCCUGGAAAAGGAGGAAGAGGAGUGCCAAAUCAGUGUGGUGACAGAGCAACAGCAACAACCACAUUUGAAUGUUCUAUAGCGAAUUGCGAUUCAUUAUUUUAUGAUUUGUUUUGAGUUUUCUGGUUGUUUUAGAGCAGGGGUCCCCAAACUUUUUCCUGUGAGGGCCACAUAACCUUUCCCUUCUCUGAUGGCGGGCCGGUGGCAGUUUGUAACAGAAAAAGUGUGACGAUCGUAGGGGAGCUUAAAAAAAAUAUUGUUUUCCAGAAAGCCACACAUAACCAAAUAACGGUUAUUUAAUAACCCUUUCCAGGUUCUUUACAGAAAAAAAGUCAGGAAACAAAUAAUAACACUAUUAAUGAAAUAAAUAAUAACUAAACCCUCUCUGAGUUCUUCACAGAAAAAACAGGAAAUAAAUAACUAAAUAACUCUCUCUGGGUUCUUCAUAGAAAAAAAACCAUGGAACAUUAACUUUCUGUUGUGCCAUGAACAAUCUUAACAGAUAAAAGUUCAGCUCAGUUGUCAGAGCAGAACCUCUCUGACACAUAUGAGCAGUCUCUUAAAGUUCUUGUGUUCCUUCCUUAUAAUCCUUUUGUAGGUUCCAGUAGGCUUGUAGACACUGCUGUCUUUUUUGUUAAAGUUUGAUAGUGCGUCAUAGUCUGGAGUAAAAUUUGUUGUGGCAAUUCUUAGGCGAGAUCCGAGGUGUUUGUCCGUUUACCUCGAUCUGUGACGGGUAGAUGUUGACGUUCAUGUGGCUGAACGUCACGUCGCGUACGUCGAGCCAAAUUGGCAACUCUUUUAAACGCUCGUCACUGUGUUCACCCUGCUUUACUUGGGCGACAUUUUAACGGAAGGAUUCCAGGGGAAGGUUUGUGGGUGGCUUUAGCGCAAAACUGCAUCUGAAAGCUCAGCGCGCAAAUUACAAGAAUGCUGUCGUCACAGCCCACGCUCUAAAUUCGGGACUGAUACAAA